CAGGAUUCGGCAAUUUUUCAUACCGUUCACACUCGUGGCGAGAAGCGUCUCGGCAGUCGUCGAUUGUUCGCCCUUGUGAAGUGUUGUCUCUUUGUCAAAGUUUCGAAUCAUGGACUGUUUUGAAAUAUCAAAUUAGUUCUAUGGGGAUGGAAAUUUUUGACAUUUAUGAUCAAUUUUGCGUUUUCUCACUGCUCCGAUCGUGUUCUUCCUGUAUCCUGUUUCGAACCCAACAGAGCUGUAUCAGAGGUUAGAGGUUAGGACAGGUCCAGGUCCUUGUUAAAGUGGCUGUAGUUGAGCGAAGGGAACGACCCCAAUGACCAGUGAACAAUCUUCCCGGAGUCCAAUCUUCACAUCUUUGACCUUCAAGUGUGUUUGCAUUGGGGGCGCCAGGAGCUGCCGCGCGCCGCUGCUCGAGGCGAUGAAGGCCGCCGCGAUCCUGGAUGGAGGCUGCGGACCAAAUUGAAGCGACGAGUGGAUGUGGAGGACUGGCGGCGCCUGCGGCCUGCCCGUGCCAAGUGAGGUGAGCUGUGAUUUUUGAAAGGGAAGAGGAGGACAACGACUGGCUUGCUGCUGCUGUCUCGUCAUCCCAAGGCGACGCCGAGCUCUGACGCCCUCGAUCCGUUUGACGGCCAUCACGGCCGCGAGGCAGGUGUCGUCGAGCGCAGUGACAACGCCCCGAUUAGGAGAGAGAAUGCUCGAGUGUACUGUGUGCAAAAUGAAAUUUUCGCAAAUGGGUCACCUAAAUACUCAUC
Frankliniella occidentalis (western flower thrips) is the source of this 752-nucleotide long non-coding RNA. RefSeq lists it as uncharacterized. NCBI's taxonomy places the organism in Eukaryota, Metazoa, Arthropoda, Insecta, Thysanoptera, Thripidae. The transcript is spliced from 5 exons. The record is from RefSeq and is a predicted model, not a curated record.